UGGGGAAUAUUGCACAAUGGGGGAAACCCUGAUGCAGCGACGCCGCGUGAACGAAGAAGGUAUUCGUAUCGUAAAGUUCUGUCCUAUGGGAAGAUAAUGACAGUACCAUAGCAGAAAGCUCCGGCUAAAUACGUGCCAGCAGCCGCGGUAAUACGUAUGGAGCGAGCGUUGUCCGGAAUUAUUGGGCGUAAAGGGUACGCAGGCGGUUUAAUAAGUCGAAUGUUAAAGAUCGGGGCUCAACCCCGCAAAGCAUUGGAAACUGAUAAGCUUGAGUACUGGAGAGGAAAGUGGAAUUCCUAGUGUAGUGGUGAAAUACGUAGAUAUUAGGAGGAAUACCAGUAGCGAAGGCGACUUUCUGGACACAAACUGACGCUGAGGUACGAAAGCGUGGGGAGCAAACAGG
Molecule: ribosomal RNA, 403 nt
Filed under: bacterium
Lineage: Bacteria
Description: partial 16S ribosomal RNA
Rfam family: Bacterial small subunit ribosomal RNA
Source: RNAcentral